GGAGCCCUACUCUCGCAACUCAAGAUGGCGGACGAGAGUGAGACAGCAGUGAAGCCGCCGGCACCUCCGCUGCCGCAGAUGAUGGAAGGGAACGGGAACGGCCAUGAGCACUGCAGCGAUUGCGAGAAUGAGGAGGACAACAGCUACAACCGGGGAUGAACUCUUUGCCAGCAGAGAGGAUCC
Molecule: small RNA, 183 nt
Filed under: Pan troglodytes (chimpanzee)
Lineage: Eukaryota; Metazoa; Chordata; Mammalia; Primates; Hominidae
Description: processed transcript
Source: RNAcentral